Molecule: ribosomal RNA, 492 nt
Filed under: uncultured bacterium
Lineage: Bacteria
Description: partial 16S ribosomal RNA
Rfam family: Bacterial small subunit ribosomal RNA
Source: RNAcentral
AGUGAACGCUGGCGGUAGGCCUAACACAUGCAAGUCGAACGGCAGCACAGUAAGAGCUUGCUCUUACGGGUGGCGAGUGGCGGACGGGUGAGGAAUACAUCGGAAUCUACUUUUUCGUGGGGGAUAACGUAGGGAAACUUACGCUAAUACCGCAUACGACCUACGGGUGAAAGCAGGGGAUCUUCGGACCUUGCGCGAAUGAAUGAGCCGAUGUCGGAUUAGCUAGUUGGCGGGGUAAAGGCCCACCAAGGCGACGAUCCGUAGCUGGUCUGAGAGGAUGAUCGGCCACACGGGAAGUGAGACACGGUCCAGACGCCUACGGGAGGCAGCAGUGGGGAAUAUUGGACAAUGGGCGCAAGCCUGAUCCAGCCAUACCGCGUGGGUGAAGAAGGCCUUCGGGUUGUAAAGCCCUUUUGUUGGGAAAGAAAAGCAGCAGGUUAAUACCACGCUGUUCUGACGGUACCCAAAGAAUAAGCACCGGCUAACUUCGUG